UCACAGGCUACAGAGAAAUUGUGAAAGGAAGAGUGAAUGAUGUGGCCAACUUCAUUGUUGUCUUAUUUUAAGAAACUGCCACAGACAUCCUAGCAACCACCACCCUGGUCACGCAGCAGCCAUCAACAUCGAGGCAGGACCCUCCACCAGCCAAAACAUGACAACUUGCUGAAAGCCCAGAUGAUGGGUAGCAUUUAUUCUUAACGAUAAAGUAUUUUCAAAUUAAGCUCUGUAUUUUUUUUUUUUAAGGCAUAAUGCUAUUGCACACACCAUAGACCACAGUGUAGCAUAAUUUUAACUUUUAUAUGCACUGGGCGACCAAAAAAUUAAUUUGACUUGUUUUUUUGCGAUAGCUGUUUCAUUGCAGUGGUCUGGAGCCCGAGCCACAAAAUGUCUGAGGAAUGCCUGUAUUUCUACUGUCAUUUUAACCGUUCUGACAAGCUUACUAUCACUGGAGCCCAUGGCCAGCUGGGAAAGGACACAGUGGCUUGAGUUCUUGCUGUGACCCUUUAGUAAUUCCAGUAAAGUCUGAGUACCACUAUGGGAGCAUUAGAACACCUACACUGCAAUAAAAGAAUCAACUGUGUGAUGUGUAUGCAAGUAACCAGAACUGACAGGACAUGUGACCUAGGACUACUGAUCUCCUGCCUGGGCAAAGCAGAGAACACAUGCAACACAACCUAAACUUUUCUGGAGUACUUAACAGUUCUCUGACCAUCAGUUAAUACACUCCUCAGAAGCUACUGCAGUAGGAACAGCUGUUUGAAACACAAAUGGUUCAGAUCAUAAAGUAAAAGAGCAGGAAUAUGUGCUUAAAUAAAAAGGAAAUUCUCAAAGAAUGUGGUAAAAGUGCAAGGAAAGACACAAGCUGAAUGCCAUCAAAACAGACACAUACACAUGGAAUCUUCACAAAUGAAAUUUAGUAUUUGGUAAGAGAUUUAUAAACCCCAAACCUUCAAUUCAGAAAAACAUUCUCUGCAGUGUUACUUGUAAUAGUGAAAACUGGAUUCUACCUAAAUGUUCUAUCAAGUGAGAAUGAUUAGGGAAACUAUGAUGGCUGUGAAUGACUUCAUGAAAUUUUAAAAAGAUGAAUAAUUAUCACUUGUUGGACUACACUAGGCUCUGAGGAUACAAAUAUGAUCCCUGCCAUCAAUGAGCAUACGGUAGCAGGGGAGAUCGUUAAAACAAGAAAGCAUACAGUAUAGCAGUACGAUGAAAGAGAAGUAAGCUAGGGGCACCCAAGGGUAUGGAAGACAUGGGGCACAGAAGGCUUCCCCUCACAAAGUGAAGUUGAAGUUGAGUCCUGAAAAGCGAGUACAAGUCAAGGAGAGGUGGGACAAUAGAAAGUAAAACACAUAUUUGGAAUGGGAUAAUUAAAUGUGUCGAGCUCCCAAGGUGGAGGACAUCCUGGAGAACCUUGGAAAGAUUUGCUGCAUCCUAAACCUAUUAUUAGGUCAGUGAAGGAUUUUGAGCAGAAGAAUAACAUGAUCAGAUUUGCAUUUCUGGUGAUAACAUUAAUUGAUUGGGGGUGGGGGGGGGGGAGGCGGUUUCUGAUGGAGGCCGAAGACUUUGAUGCCUACAAGAGAGGUGAGAGUGGCUUUACUGUAGCAGCAAGGAAAUGGAAGUGGAGAGAUACCUGGUAACAAUGCGCUAUGGUAGGGAGACAAAAUCUGUUCAUCCCCAAGUUUCUGUCUCCAAUAACAGUGCAAUCAUAGGAAAAGCCAGUUUGAUUUGGAACUUGUUGACUUUGAGACCUAAGUCACCAUGUGCA
Molecule: long non-coding RNA, 1771 nt
Organism: Acinonyx jubatus (cheetah)
Lineage: Eukaryota; Metazoa; Chordata; Mammalia; Carnivora; Felidae
Exons: 5
Source: RefSeq, a predicted model, not a curated record